Struthio camelus australis is the source of this 633-nucleotide long non-coding RNA. RefSeq lists it as uncharacterized. NCBI's taxonomy places the organism in Eukaryota, Metazoa, Chordata, Aves, Struthioniformes, Struthionidae. The record is from RefSeq and is a predicted model, not a curated record.
UGCAGUUCUUACACCGAUUGCCUUGAGAACGUUUUAUGACUGGUUUCACAUGUACAACGCCCAGGAUUUCAGCCAGCGUCUGGGAGUUAAUGGAUUAAAGGAAUUAAAGAUAGUUUAAAAGACUGUCUAGAAGGGAGGCAGCUGUAUUGGGUAGCUAUUUGUGGGAGUAGAUCCCUGACAAGUUGUGUGAGGAAGUUAAGCCUCCUUGGAUUUCACUAGAAGAUGCUAACUUCAAGUGGACUGUUUUCACUAGUCAGUCUUGAUUAUACAAUUUGAGGAGCAGCGUGGGAGAAAUAUGCAUAUCUGUAUGAACGAUUGACAUACAUAGUACUAAAACCCAUGGGGCCGAGAGGGAGUCCUCUCCAGUGAAACUGGGAUCGGCGCAAAGAAUUUAGGAAAAUAUCAUCAGACGUAUCAGCCGCUGGUGUUUACCUUCAGUCUCAGGAAUUUGUGUCCUUCUCCCUUCAUCUCAAGUUGCUAAGUUUGUUUCCAGAGAAAGAGCAAGCUGCCUGCCUUGUGGACCUUUUCUACCCUGAGCAGCCACAGAAAGGAAAAGCUGUCUCAUAGCCCAGACUGGUCUAAUCUCUGAAAGUUCUGGAGAUGUCAUUAAGUUAAUCAUUUAACCACUGUAAA